This 270-nucleotide ribosomal RNA is filed under the name uncultured bacterium. RNAcentral describes it as "partial 16S ribosomal RNA". It matches the Rfam family "Bacterial small subunit ribosomal RNA", at positions 88 to 354 of the family's 1533-position model. The record is from RNAcentral.
CCGGCGACCGGCGCACGGGUGAGUAACACGUAUGCGACCUGCCCCCCGCAGGGGGAUAACCGGGAGAAAUCCCGACUAAUACCGCGUAACGCCGCGGACCUGCAUGGGUCUAGCGGCCAAAGGAAGCGAUUCCGGCGGGGAUGGGCAUGCGGCGCAUUAGCUAGUCGGCGGGGUAACGGCCCACCGAGGCGACGAUGCGUAGGGGUUCUGAGAGGAAGGUCCCCCACACUGGUACUGAGACACGGACCAGACUCCUACGGAAGGCAGCAG